RNAcentral lists this transfer RNA (73 nucleotides) under Malacoplasma penetrans HF-2. Its description in RNAcentral is "Mycoplasma penetrans HF-2 tRNA". It matches the Rfam family "tRNA". From Rfam's summary of the family: Transfer RNA (tRNA) molecules are approximately 80 nucleotides in length. Lineage: Bacteria; Bacillati; Mycoplasmatota; Mycoplasmoidales; Mycoplasmoidaceae. The record is from Rfam by way of RNAcentral.
GCGCCUGUAGCUCAGUGGAUAGAGCAUGCGCCUUCUAAGCGCAGGGUCAGGAGUUCGAAUCUCUUCAGGCGCG